GACGAACGCUGGCGGCGUGCUUAACACAUGCAGGUCGAACGGGUCUUGUCCCCUUUUUUUUUGGGGGUGGGGUUAGUGGCGAACGGGUGAGUAACACGUGAGUAACCUGCCCCUCACUUCUGGAUAACCGCUUGAAAGGGUGGCUAAUACGGGGUGUUCUGGCCUGCUCGCAUGGGUGGGUUUGGAAAGAUUCGACCGGUUUUGGUUGUUUUGGUGGGGGAUGGGCUCGCGGCCUAUCAGCUUGUUGGUGGGGGGAUUGCCUGCCAAGGCUUUGCCGGGUAGCCGGCCUGAGAGGGUGGGCGGGCACACUGGGACUGAGACACGGCCCAGACUCCUACGAGGGGCAGCAGUGGGGAAUAUUGCACAAUGGGCGCAAGCCUGAUGCAGCGACGCCGCGUGAGGGAUGGAGGCCUUCGGGUUGUGAACCUCUUUCGCCAGUGAAGAAGGUCCUGCUCUUUGUGGUGGGGUUGACGGUAGCUGGGUUAAUGAAGCGCCGGCUAACUACGUG
Molecule: ribosomal RNA, 508 nt
Filed under: uncultured bacterium
Lineage: Bacteria
Description: partial 16S ribosomal RNA
Rfam family: Bacterial small subunit ribosomal RNA
Source: RNAcentral